RNAcentral lists this ribosomal RNA (253 nucleotides) under uncultured bacterium. Its description in RNAcentral is "partial 16S ribosomal RNA". It matches the Rfam family "Bacterial small subunit ribosomal RNA", at positions 524 to 776 of the family's 1533-position model. The record is from RNAcentral.
UACAGGGGGGGCAAGCGUUGUUCGGAAUUACUGGGCGUAAAGGGUUCGUAGGUGGCCAAUUAAGUCAGACGUGAAAUCCCUCAGCUUAACUGGGGAACUGCGUCUGAUACUGGUUGGCUUGAGUGCAGGAGAGGAAUGCGGAAUUCCAGGUGUAGCGGUGAAAUGCGCAGAUAUCAGGAGGAACACCAAUGGCGAAGGCAGCACUCUGGGACGUGACUGACGCUGAGACGCGAAAGCGUGGGGAGCAAACAGG